Molecule: ribosomal RNA, 475 nt
Filed under: uncultured bacterium
Lineage: Bacteria
Description: partial 16S ribosomal RNA
Rfam family: Bacterial small subunit ribosomal RNA
Source: RNAcentral
GGUGAACGCUGGCGGCGUGCUUAAGACAUGCAAGUCGAACGCAGUCUUCGGACUGAGUGGCGCACGGGUGAGUAACACGUAACUGACCUACCCCCAAGUCGCGGAUAACUGGCCGAAAGGUCAGCUAAUACGUGAUGUGAUGUCCCCUUUCUGGGGGACCAUUAAAGGUUUACUGCUUGGGGAUGGGGUUGCGUUCCAUCAGCUAGUUGGCGGGGUAAAGGCCCACCAAGGCAACGACGGAUAGCCGGCCUGAGAGGGUAGCCGGCCACAGGGGCACUGAGACACGGGUCCCACUCCUACGGGAGGCAGCAGUUAGGAAUCUUCCACAAUGGGCGAAAGCCUGAUGGAGCGACGCCGCGUGAGGGAUGAAGGUUCUCGGAUCGUAAACCUCUGAAUCAGGGACGAAAGACGCGUAAGCGGGAUGACGGUACCUGAGUAAUAGCACCGGCUAACUCCGUGCCAGCCGCCGCAGUAA